Molecule: ribosomal RNA, 155 nt
Filed under: Phlyctema vagabunda
Lineage: Eukaryota; Fungi; Ascomycota; Leotiomycetes; Helotiales; Dermateaceae
Description: 5.8S ribosomal RNA
Rfam family: 5.8S ribosomal RNA
About the family: 5.8S ribosomal RNA (5.8S rRNA) is a component of the large subunit of the eukaryotic ribosome. It is transcribed by RNA polymerase I as part of the 45S precursor that also contains 18S and 28S rRNA.
Source: RNAcentral
UAGUUAAAACUUUCAACAACGGAUCUCUUGGUUCUGGCAUCGAUGAAGAACGCAGCGAAAUGCGAUAAGUAAUGUGAAUUGCAGAAUUCAGUGAAUCAUCGAAUCUUUGAACGCACAUUGCGCCCCUUGGUAUUCCGGGGGGCAUGCCUGUUCGA